This 912-nucleotide ribosomal RNA is filed under the name uncultured bacterium. RNAcentral describes it as "bacterial SSU rRNA". It matches the Rfam family "Bacterial small subunit ribosomal RNA", at positions 8 to 916 of the family's 1533-position model. The record is from RNAcentral.
AGAGUUUGAUCAUGGCUCAGGUUGAACGCUGGCGGCAUGCUUUACACAUGCAAGUCGAACGGCAGCACGGGGGCAACCCUGGUGGCGAGUGGCGAACGGGUGAGUAAUGCAUCGGAACGUAUCUUCAAGUGGGGGAUAACGCACCGAAAGGUGUGCUAAUACCGCAUAAUCUCUACGGAGAAAAGCAGGGGAUCGCAAGACCUUGCGCUUUUGGAGCGGCCGAUGUCUGAUUAGCUAGUUGGUGAGGUAAAGGCUUACCAAGGCUUCGAUCAGUAGCUGGUCUGAGAGGACGACCAGCCACACUGGGACUGAGACACGGCCCAGACUCCUACGGGAGGCAGCAGUGGGGAAUUUUGGACAAUGGGGGAAACCCUGAUCCAGCCAUGCCGCGUGAGUGAAGAAGGCCUUCGGGUUGUAAAGCUCUUUCAGCCGGAACGAAACGGUCACGGCUAAUACCUGUGAUCACUGACGGUACCGGAAGAAGAAGCACCGGCUAACUACGUGCCAGCAGCCGCGGUAAUACGUAGGGUGCGAGCGUUAAUCGGAAUUACUGGGCGUAAAGCGUGCGCAGGCGGUUUUGUAAGUCAGAUGUGAAAUCCCCGGGCUUAACCUGGGAACUGCGUUUGAAACUACAAGGCUAGAGUGUAGCAGAGGGGGGUGGAAUUCCACGUGUAGCAGUGAAAUGCGUAGAGAUGUGGAGGAACACCGAUGGCGAAGGCAGCCCCCUGGGUUAACACUGACGCUCAGGCACGAAAGCGUGGGGAGCAAACAGGAUUAGAUACCCUGGUAGUCCACGCCCUAAACUAUGUCAACUAGUUGUCGGGCCUUAACGGGCUUGGUAACGCAGCUAACGCGUGAAGUUGACCGCCCGGGGAGUACGGUCGCAAGAUUAAAACUCAAAGGAAUUGACGG